GCCACUUUUGCGCUGACGGCCUCAUAUGUACACUAUAAUUCCGUACUUACUAUUUUGUAUAGUUUCAUUAGUGGUUAUAAAAAACAUAAUGUAACAUAACACGUCAACGAACAUUAAAUAUACUAUUAAAACGGAUCUAAAUAUUUUAUGUUAAAAUCUGUAAGAAAGCACCUAAAUCGUCAAGUAACUAUACAAUAAAACGAACAAAGAAAGCGGAAACAUGAAAGAAAACCGAAUGAAAUCACCAUUCCGAACUAUUACAAGCGCAUCAACACAAACAAACGGACAUCGAGGGGUUCGUACAAUUUAUGCGCGUGCCUCCGAGGUAACAAAGCGAGAGAACAGAUGCUUGCAUGAAUAAAACAGUCGAGGGCCGACUGAAUAUUUGAGGACGAGGUACAUAGAACCGCACCGGCACGCGAGCUGGUCGAAGAUGCUCAGUGACCUACACGCACAGCUUUAUUUCGUCAUCGAUCCAGUAGACGGUAAACAAUAAAUUAUUUUGUCAUAAAGAAA
This is a long non-coding RNA of Bombyx mori (domestic silkworm), 516 nucleotides long. RefSeq lists it as uncharacterized. The transcript has 3 exons. Lineage: Eukaryota; Metazoa; Arthropoda; Insecta; Lepidoptera; Bombycidae. The record is from RefSeq and is a predicted model, not a curated record.